RNAcentral lists this ribosomal RNA (450 nucleotides) under uncultured Glomeromycotina. RNAcentral describes it as "SSU rRNA". It matches the Rfam family "Eukaryotic small subunit ribosomal RNA", at positions 569 to 1024 of the family's 1831-position model. The record is from RNAcentral. Lineage: Eukaryota; Fungi; Glomeromycota.
AGCAGCCGCGGUAAUUCCAGCUCCAAUAGCGUAUAUUAAAGUUGCUGCAGUUAAAAAGCUCGUAGUUGAAUUUCGGGACCAAUAUGUCGGUCGUGCCUCGGUACGUACUGGCAUCGUUGGUUUCUCCUUUCUGAAGAACCAUGAUGUCAUUUAUUUGGUGUCGUGGGAAAUCAGGACUGUUACUUUGAAAAAAUUAGAGUGUUUAAAGCAGGCUCACGCUUGAAUACAUUAGCAUGGAAUAAUGAAAUAGGACGUUUGAUUCUAUUUUGUUGGUUUCUAGGAUCGACGUAAUGAUUAAUAGGGAUAGUUGGGGGCAUUAGUAUUCAAUUGUCAGAGGUGAAAUUCUUGGAUUUAUUGAAGACUAACUACUGCGAAAGCAUUUGCCAAGGAUGUUUUCAUUAAUCAAGAACGAAAGUUAGGGGAUCGAAGACGAUCAGAUACCGUCGUAGU